GGCCAGUCGAACGACUCGGACUAUGGCGAGAAGUGGCAAACUGCUCAGUAACACGUAGCUAACCUACCCUCAGGACGGAGACAACCCCGGGAAACUGGGGUUAAUCCCUGAUAGGCGUGGAUUCCUGGAAUGGUGUCACGCCGAAACGUUAACACACCAUGUUUGUGUACACGCCUGAGGAUGGGGCUGCGGCCGAUCAGGCAGUUGGUGAGGUAACGGCUCACCAAACCUUUGACCGGUACGGGCCGUGAGAGCGGUAGCCCGGAGAUGGACACUGAGACAAGGGUCCAGGACCUACGGGUCGCAGCCGGUACGAAACCUCCACAAUGCACGCAAGUGCGAUGGGGUUACCUCGAGUGCCGCCUGAAGAAGGCGGCUUUUCCAUUGUGUAAUGAGCCGUGGGAAUAAGGGGGGGGCAAGACUGGUGUCAGCCGCCGCGGUAACACCAGCCCCCCGAGUGGUGGGGAUGUUUAUUUGGCCUAAAACGUCCGUAGCCAGCUAGGUAAAUCUCUCGUUAAAUCCAGCGUCCUAAGCGUUGGGCUGCGAGAGAGACUGCCAAGCUAGAGGGUGGGAGAGGUCAGCGGUAUUUCUGGGGUAGGGGCGAAAUCCAUUGAUCCCAGGAGGACCACCAGUGGCGAAGGCUGCUGACUAGAACACGCCUGACGGUGAGGGACGAAAGCUGGGGUAGCGAAUCGGAUUAGAUACCCGAGUAGUCCCAGCCGUAAACGAUGCAGGCUAGGUGUUGGGUUGGCCACGUGCCGACUCAGUGCCACAGGGAAGCCAUUAAGCCUGCUGCCUGGGGAGUACGGUCGCAAGGCUGAAACUUAAAGGAAUUGGCGGGGGAGCA
Molecule: ribosomal RNA, 847 nt
Filed under: uncultured archaeon
Lineage: Archaea
Description: bacterial SSU rRNA
Rfam family: Archaeal small subunit ribosomal RNA
Source: RNAcentral